This is a microRNA precursor of Oryza sativa Japonica Group (Japanese rice), 210 nucleotides long. It matches the Rfam family "MIR812 microRNA precursor family". The record is from Rfam. Lineage: Eukaryota; Viridiplantae; Streptophyta; Magnoliopsida; Poales; Poaceae.
UUUAAGUGUAACCAUAAGUAAGUUUUCGCGUCCAACUUUGAUCGUCCGUUUUAUUUGAAAAAAUUAUAUAAUUAGUAUUUUUGUUGUUAUGAGAUGAUAAAAUAUGAAUAGUACUUUACUUGUGACUUAUGCUUUUAUUUUGUUUUUUUUAAAAAAAUAAAUAAGACGGAAGGUCAAAGUUGGAUACGAAAAACUAUGACUGCACUUAAA